CCUACGGGGUGCAGCAGUGGGGAAUAUUGGACAAUGGGCGAAAGCCUGAUCCAGCCAUGCCGCGUGUGUGAAGAAGGCCUUCGGGUUGUAAAGCACUUUCAGUGGGGAAGAAAGCCUUGGGGCUAAUACCCUCGAGGAAGGACAUCACCCACAGAAGAAGCACCGGCUAACUCCGUGCCAGCAGCCGCGGUAAUACGGAGGGUGCGAGCGUUAAUCGGAAUUACUGGGCGUAAAGCGCGCGUAGGCGGUCUGAUAAGCCGGUUGUGAAAGCCCCGGGCUCAACCUGGGAACGGCAUCCGGAACUGGCUGGCUAGAGUGCAGGAGAGGAAGGUAGAAUUCCCGGUGUAGCGGUGAAAUGCGUAGAGAUCGGGAGGAAUACCAGUGGCGAAGGCGGCCUUCUGGACUGACACUGACGCUGAGGUGCGAAAGCGUGGGUAGCAAACAGGAUUAGAUACCCGUGUAGUC
Molecule: ribosomal RNA, 465 nt
Filed under: Vreelandella stevensii
Lineage: Bacteria; Pseudomonadati; Pseudomonadota; Gammaproteobacteria; Oceanospirillales; Halomonadaceae
Description: partial 16S ribosomal RNA
Rfam family: Bacterial small subunit ribosomal RNA
Source: RNAcentral